AGGAAUCACUUGAAACAAAGUUUCACUUUCUGCCUACACACACUCCAGGAAGCAACUUGCCUGUUUCCUAUGUGGCCAAGAUAACAAGAACAUGCCACCUCACUAGCUCUGUUGAGAAGAGGUCUUCUAAAUUUUUUUGCCCAUGUUGUCCUUGAACUAGUAUUUCCAAUGUCAGCCUUCCAAGUAGCUAGGAUAUGUGUGAGCCACCAACACCCAACUAUUUUUAAGUUUG
Molecule: long non-coding RNA, 232 nt
Organism: Perognathus longimembris pacificus (Pacific pocket mouse)
Lineage: Eukaryota; Metazoa; Chordata; Mammalia; Rodentia; Heteromyidae
Exons: 3
Source: RefSeq, a predicted model, not a curated record